AGUGAACGCUGGCGGUAGGCCUAACACAUGCAAGUCGAACGGCAGCACAGUAAGAGCUUGCUCUUACGGGUGACGAGUGGCGGACGGGUGAGGAAUACAUCGGAAUCUACUUUUUCGUGGGGGAUAACGUAGGGAAACUUACGCUAAUACCGCAUACGACCUACGGGUGAAAGCAGGGGAUCCUCGGACCUUGCGCGAUUGAAUGAGCCGAUGUCGGAUUAGCUAGUUGGCGGGGUAAAGGCCCACCAAGGCGACGAUCCGUAGCUGGUCUGAGAGGAUGAUCAGCCACACUGGAACUGAGACACGGUCCAGACUCCUACGGGAGGCAGCAGUGGGGAAUAUUGGACAAUGGGCGCAAGCCUGAUCCAGCCAUACCGCGUGGGUGAAGAAGGCCUUCGGGUUGUAAAGCCCUUUUGUUGGGAAAGAAAAGCAGCAGGUUAAUACCCCGCUGUUCUGACGGUACCCAAAGAAUAAGCACCGGCUAACUUCGUG
RNAcentral lists this ribosomal RNA (492 nucleotides) under uncultured bacterium. Its description in RNAcentral is "partial 16S ribosomal RNA". It matches the Rfam family "Bacterial small subunit ribosomal RNA", at positions 29 to 507 of the family's 1533-position model. The record is from RNAcentral.